AUGGAGAAGGCAAGGAAGGCCACCUCCCCUAAGAGCUCAUCAACUAGUCCAGGCCCGAAAAGCCCAGCAAGGAGUGGAGGGUCCCCUCCUCAUAAAAAGAACGUCACCGAGGCACGACCAAAAAAUGAGCAGCAAAACUUCCGUAAAGGCGGUCAAGACUCGGCAACUCAUGAUGAGAGCAAACGACGUUCACCAACUUCACAAACCUCACCCAAGAGAUCGACAAAACACGAGCAGCCGCUGAGCUACUGCAGGCUUCACACCGAGGAGCGGGCCAUAAGGCGAGCUGGCUACAAUUACCAGAUUGCAAGCAAGAUAAAUACCGAGGAAAUUAUUCGGAGAUUUGAGGACAAGUUAUCACAGGUGAUGGAGGAGCGCGAAAUCAAGAUGAUGAGGAAGGAGAUGGUUCCAAAGGCCCAACUUAUGCCAGCAUUUGACAAGCCAUUCCAUCCACAAAGGUCGAGGAGGCCCCUCACCGUCCCCAAGGAGCCGAGCUUCCUGAGGCUCAAGUGCUGCAUCGGCGGCGAGUUCCACCGCCACUUCUGCUACAACUCCGGCGGCGGCGCCAAGGCCGUCAACUGA
RNAcentral lists this ribosomal RNA (582 nucleotides) under Triticum aestivum (bread wheat). Its description in RNAcentral is "partial small subunit ribosomal RNA". Lineage: Eukaryota; Viridiplantae; Streptophyta; Magnoliopsida; Poales; Poaceae. The record is from RNAcentral.